RNAcentral lists this ribosomal RNA (494 nucleotides) under uncultured bacterium. Its description in RNAcentral is "bacterial SSU rRNA". It matches the Rfam family "Bacterial small subunit ribosomal RNA", at positions 62 to 543 of the family's 1533-position model. The record is from RNAcentral.
UCGAACGAGAAAGCCCUUCGGGGUGAGUAGAGUGGCGAACGGGUGAGUAACACGUGGGCAACCUGCCCCUCGCAGGGGGAUAACCGAAGGAAACUCCGGCUAAUACCCCGUAAGCUUUCAGGGUCGCAUGGCUCUGUAAGGAAAGGUAGCUUCGGCCAUCCGGCGAGGGAUGGGCCCGCGGUGCAUUAGCUAGUUGGUGGGGUAAUGGCCCACCAAGGCGACGAUGCGUAGCUGGUCUGAGAGGAUGAUCAGCCACACUGGGACUGAGACACGGCCCAGACUCCUACGGGAGGCAGCAGCCAGGAAUCUUGGGCAAUGGGCGCAAGCCUGACCCAGCAACACCGUGUGGGCGAUGAAGGCCUUCGGGUCGUAAAGCCCUGUUGAUAGGGACGAAGGGCGAAGGGUUAAUAGCCCCUAGCCUGACGGUACCUUUCGAGGAAGCCCCGGCUAACUACGUGCCAGCAGCCGCGGUAAUACGUAGGGGGCGAGCGUUG